UACAGAGGGUGCAAGCGUUAAUCGGAAUCACUGGGCGUAAAGCGUGUGUAGACGGUCAUGUAAGUCGGGUGUGAAAGCCCCGGGCUCAACCUGGGAAUUGCAUUCGAGACUGCAUGGCUAGGAUGCGGAAGAGGGAAGCGGAAUUCCAGGUGUAGCGGUGAAAUGCGUAGAUAUCUGGAGGAAUACCGGUGGCGAAGGCGGCAUCCUGGACCAUUACUGACGCUGAGGCGCGAAAGCAUGGGGAGCGAACAGG
This 253-nucleotide ribosomal RNA is filed under the name uncultured bacterium. Its description in RNAcentral is "partial 16S ribosomal RNA". It matches the Rfam family "Bacterial small subunit ribosomal RNA", at positions 524 to 776 of the family's 1533-position model. The record is from RNAcentral.